CAUAGUAAUGUGGGCACUGGAAGAGGACUGUAUGGUGUCAGACCUCCACCACGUGCCAUCGCUUCUUCAAGAGAAAAUGAACAUUAUCCAGCUCCCUCCACUGGGCUAUACUGUGUAACAGCAGAUGCCGAAAUUUCCCGAAAGUUCUCUGAAAGACCUGCGUGCACAGGAGAGGAAGCUGGAGAGCGGAGUGCCCCCUAGUGACCAUUUUGAGUGGGGAAGGGAAGAAGGAGAGAAAGGGAAGGCAAAGAAAGCCAGCAGGCGCCAUCCCGCAGAAGGAAGUUGGAUUUGAUUCAGGAAGAAGAAACUGGGCCAGUGGACAGUGAUGUGCCUGAGGAUCCCCCCACCGGAAGUCCCCCCCAUGUGAUCCGCGACUCCAGCUGCUCGUGAGGGAGGAAAUGGAGCAGAAGACUGAGCUAGCUUGACGGCAGACAAAAUCCAGUCUCCAUUCUGUCUUUAUCACUGUCAAUGCGCGAAUGUCUUCGCGUUAAGAUCAGAGUAAUAGAGUAAAUUACCCACUGAUCACUCUUGCUAUUGUAAAAUACCAUCCAGAUUCACCUGGGCUUUUAUUUCAGCGAACAGACUGAUUUUCUGGGCUUUCGUAGUGUUUCCUUUCCUGCCCCGGUUCUUCCCCCAAGCUGGUCAGUUGCCCAACACAGAUUCUUCUACCUGAGUAUUUGGGGAACUCGACAACCGAGGGGGUGGGUGCUCCUCUUGUUCUGACAGUUUGAUUUUGUGUUCUAGAUUCGGAGAUACAUUUUAAAUCUGUUUCAGCCUGACUUUCCGUUUCAGUGGGGAGGAUCAGAGCCUUUGCUUGUAACUGCUUGGCCUCGGAAAGGCAGCAUAUUUCUGCACUUCCUUGGCUACCCAGUCAGGGUGGAGAAACUGCUGGAGUUUAUUUCUACAGCUCCCUUUUCUCACCUCUGGUCUUCUCAGUGGUUGGAGAAGUUGGAUGUCUUUGGAAAGACGCGGGAACAUUUCCUCUUCCUAAGAGUGGAAAUCCAGGGAUAGCUUGCUUUCCCAGCCUGGAGCUCCGAAUAAAAAGCUACCGUAUCUUGAGUUCAAAGUGCUCAGAGAAAGGGAAAAAAUAAGUUUGAAGGGCUUGCUUGCAUAGUUACAAUGGGGGUGCCAGAUGUUGCCUAACAAGUUCAAAGAGUGGAAAACCCAGAGUAAGGUUCUGGGUGCCAGUGUCACAGCUCACGCUUGCUGGAGCCAGUGCCGGCGAUGAUGGCAACUGAAUGCCCAGGCAGACCUUGAUGGGGAGCUUGGAAAAUGCAGAUUUCAAGACCUGCCCCCAGGCACCCUGAAUCAAGGAUGGGGCACAGUCUGUGUAUUUUGAGAGCUCCUCAAGUGAUUUUGUUCCCAUGCCCAGGAUUGCAAGCUACUGCUCCCCACAGUUACAACAGAAAAUACGAUACAAAUGGCAAUGGGCCCGGGAGCUAGGAAACCUUGAUUCUAAGUUUCUGCUCUUCCAGUGGAACAACAGAUGUCCUCAUUGGAACGCUAUGCCUCCUUUCCUGU
Condylura cristata (star-nosed mole) is the source of this 1521-nucleotide long non-coding RNA. RefSeq lists it as uncharacterized. NCBI's taxonomy places the organism in Eukaryota, Metazoa, Chordata, Mammalia, Eulipotyphla, Talpidae. The record is from RefSeq and is a predicted model, not a curated record. The transcript is spliced from 5 exons.